Molecule: ribosomal RNA, 405 nt
Filed under: Klebsiella pneumoniae
Lineage: Bacteria; Pseudomonadati; Pseudomonadota; Gammaproteobacteria; Enterobacterales; Enterobacteriaceae
Description: partial 23S ribosomal RNA
Rfam family: Bacterial large subunit ribosomal RNA
Source: RNAcentral
AUAACAGGCUGAUACCGCCCAAGAGUUCAUAUCGACGGCGGUGUUUGGCACCUCGAUGUCGGCUCAUCACAUCCUGGGGCUGAAGUAGGUCCCAAGGGGAUGGCUGUUCGCCAUUUAAAGUGGUACGCGAGCUGGGUUUAGAACGUCGUGAGACAGUUCGGUCCCUAUCUGCCGUGGGCGCUGGAGAAUUGAGGGGGGCUGCUCCUAGUACGAGAGGACCGGAGUGGACGCAUCACUGGUGUUCGGGUUGUCAUGCCAAUGGCACUGCCCGGUAGCUAAAUGCGGAAGAGAUAAGUGCUGAAAGCAUCUAAGCACGAAACUUGCCCCGAGAUGAGUUCUCCCUGAGACUUUAAGUCUCCUGAAGGAACGUUAAAGACGAUGACGUUGAUAGGCCGGGUGUGUAAG